AAAGAAACCAACAGGGAUUGCCUCAGUAACGGCGAGUGAAGCGGCAACAGCUCAAAUUUGAAAUCUGGCCCUUUCAGGGUCCGAGUUGUAAUUUGCAGAGGGUGCUUUGGUGUCGGCCGUGGUCUAAGUUCCUUGGAACAGGACGUCACAGAGGGUGAGAAUCCCGUACGUGGCCGCCGGUCUUCACCGUGUAAAGCCCCUUCGACGAGUCGAGUUGUUUGGGAAUGCAGCUCUAAAUGGGAGAUACAUUUCUUCUAAAGCUAAAUAUUGGCCAGAGACCGAUAGCGCACAAGUAGAGUGAUCGAAAGAUGAAAAGCACUUUGGAAAGAGAGUCAAAAAGCACGUGAAAUUGUUGAAAGGGAAGCGCUUGCAGCCAGACGUGCCCGCAGUUGCUCACCUAGGCUUUUGCCUGGGGCAUUCUUCUGCGGGCAGGCCAGCAUCAGUUCGGACGGUUGGAUAAAGGCCUCUGUCACGUAUCUUCCUUCGGGAUGACCUUAUAGGGGAGGCGCAACACGACCAGUCUGAACUGAGGACCGCGCAUCAGCUAGGAUGCUGGCGUAAUGGCUGUAAGCGGCCCGUCUU
Molecule: ribosomal RNA, 582 nt
Filed under: Pleospora sp. MB6524
Lineage: Eukaryota; Fungi; Ascomycota; Dothideomycetes; Pleosporales; Pleosporaceae
Description: eukaryotic LSU rRNA
Rfam family: Eukaryotic large subunit ribosomal RNA
Source: RNAcentral